RNAcentral lists this small RNA (372 nucleotides) under Caenorhabditis elegans. RNAcentral describes it as "Unclassified non-coding RNA Y38F2AR.23". The record is from RNAcentral. Lineage: Eukaryota; Metazoa; Nematoda; Chromadorea; Rhabditida; Rhabditidae.
GCUGGGAAAAACGGUCGGUUACGACUCUACGAACAAAUCCGGCGGCCGUCGAGUAUCUGAUUGGAUUGUAAAAUGCACAACGGAGCAUCCUGAUCAUAUUGGACAAUUUCAGAAGAUGAACGGAAAAGUUCGCACUAUUAGGUACGAAAUUGGAGCAUUUUGGCUUAAAAAUCACGUUUUUUCUGUGGAAAAAUAGUGAAAAACUGCAAAAAAUUGAAAAAAUCCAUAAAAUCCCGUUUUGCAGAUAUUUCUGGAAACAAAACGAGCAACCGGAGCGUUUUGAGAAGCUUUUCGAAGAAUUUCAGCAAUUAACCGCAUGCCAAUGCCCAUUUAAAAUAGGAGAAGUUAUAAAGUUUCCUGAGAAGAAAUUGA